Sitodiplosis mosellana (orange wheat blossom midge) is the source of this 1429-nucleotide long non-coding RNA. RefSeq lists it as uncharacterized. The record is from RefSeq and is a predicted model, not a curated record. Lineage: Eukaryota; Metazoa; Arthropoda; Insecta; Diptera; Cecidomyiidae. The transcript has 3 exons.
AAUGCAGAACUCCAGAUACCAGAUGUCCAAAGCAACGGAGCAGCCGAAAACUAGAUCUUACGUUAUAGAAGAUAUAUUCUCGAAACGCCGGAAGUGUGCCAGACUCACAAUUCCGUGCAGGCGACAGCGACACCGUUUUUUCACUGUAUUUUCGAUAAUAAACAAAACGGGCAGCAUGGCGUAAUCUCGUGUUUGAAUCUGCGGCACUCAUGAGGUCAUCGAUUUCCAAGUGUUCUAAUAUUCCUUCGAUACAAUCGAUGUUCAAAUCGGUUCAGAAAAUGUCUAAUGCUCAAACUUGUACUGAUGUUGUUUCUGUUCUAUCGAUCUGAGAGCUAACCUGCAACUGAUUCUUCCGAUCAAUUGGUCACUUGCUACGACCGCUUCGAAAUGGAAAGGAAAGGAAAAGAGCAAAGAAAUCGAGUGCAAAGGACAUGUCAUUAGGACAUUCAUAAACAAUGAGUAAUUAAGCAUGCCAGACAAUGUUCCUAAUUGAAGCAAAGAUUUGGUUUCUCAUUAUGCUGCAGUGCCAUACUAAACAGAAGAGAACAGAUUGAAAUAUGAGAAAAAGCAUCAUCACACAUGGAAAAUUAUAACAUUUAUGAAAUAUUUAUUCGCAAUGACAAGAAUGAUUUGGCCGUCGCUGUUUCUCGUCAACGUAUUUUAAAUAGUCGAUAUUUUCCGCCGUCAUAAAUGUUUUGUUUCGGUCGAAACGAGAGUAUCGCUAGAUAUUUAUUUAUUUAUUUAUUUAUUUAUUUAUUACGGAGCCUACAUUUAUGCCAAUAUGUGUUCCCAGCAAGCUGAGAACAUGCUGGUCAGAUACCCAAUACGGCAUAAAUUCCGCCCAUGGUGCGUCUUUUGCAAAGAGAAUACAGUCAGGGGAGGGAUGAUAUAAAAGUGAGGCUUUCAUACCAGAAUUGGGUCCGGAAAACCAUGGUAAAACCGGUCUGAUUCUGGAAAACCAGGGGAAAUACAAUGAUGAUGAGUUUUUGCAAUUAAAGUACGUUAACAUCAAUGAGAAAAAUCAAAUGAAAAGUCAAACUUAAUCUAAAUUGGAUAAGAAAUUUCAUAACAAUGGUUCGAGUAUUUUACUAUUUGAAAAAUAUCUAAAAAUUUACUGCGUGGAACGUAACAGAUGCUUUAGGUUAGUUUUAAACGCGACUAGAGAUUUAGAAUUUCUAAUUUCGACCGAUAUACUAUUCCAAAAAUUGAUUGCAGAGAAACUAAAUGCGCGAGUAUCAAAUGCAGUACGCGGAUUGAAAUUCAUGCGAAGAUUAUCUGGAUAACGCGACGAUUCACCAUUAUGAACAAACAUGCGAUUCAGAUACUCAGGCGAACAAUUUGACAACUGCUUGAAUAUCAAGACUGCUGAUUGCAGUUUUGCUCUGCUCUCAGGAGUCAAUCCACUCAAACGCUCACGAUAUUCAGUAAC